AAACACUUGCAGGUAAUUUGGAUGCCGUAUUGGAGGGCUCGUGCAUAUCACCCAUUACCAGAGAUUACAUUUUUCUCGGGUUGUUUGAAAUGUGGAAGUAUUAUCGAACCAUACCAUCCUGAGAGGGUACGGCAUCAUAUCGAGUAAUUUAUGCAUUUAUUGACGAUAGUUGGAAUUGGUGGGAUAUUCAUUUAUUACCACCACAUCGACGUGGUAGACCUUGUGAAUUUCCGUGGCACUUUACAUAUGAAUACUUACCGUGGUAUGGAUCUAUUACUCAUGCAUUGAUACAAAAUCCUGAACGUAGAUCAGGGUUCGAUAGAGGUGGCCAAGAUCUACUUAGUCUUGCUGAAGCACGUAAUGAUGUUGCAUUACGUGCUCUCAAUCUUACCAUGUCAAGUGUUGAACCCGUAUCCUCAGAUGCAUGGAGAGAGACGUGUAUCCACGUAAACCGUAUUUUAUCAUCUUCUACAAGUUUCA
This is a long non-coding RNA of Diospyros lotus (date-plum), 480 nucleotides long. RefSeq lists it as uncharacterized. Lineage: Eukaryota; Viridiplantae; Streptophyta; Magnoliopsida; Ericales; Ebenaceae. The record is from RefSeq and is a predicted model, not a curated record. The transcript has 3 exons.